Molecule: ribosomal RNA, 1204 nt
Filed under: metagenome
Description: SSU rRNA
Rfam family: Eukaryotic small subunit ribosomal RNA
Source: RNAcentral
UCUGGUUGAUCCUGCCAGUAGUCAUAUGCUUGUCUCAAAGAUUAAGCCAUGCAUGUGUAAGUAUAAGUAUUGUACAACGAAACUGCGAAUGGCUCAUUAAAUCAGUUAUAGUUUAUUUGAUAAUCGCAAGUACAUGGAUAACCGUGACAAAUUACAGCUAAUACAUGCAGUCAAACCCAGCCCAGGGUUGUAAUUAUUAGUAUUAAACCAAUUCCUUCGGGAGUGUGAUGAAUCAUAGUAAUCGAACGGAUCGCAGAAUUCUGCGAUAAAUCAUUCAAGUUUCUGCCCUAUCAGCUUUGGAUGGUAGUGUAUUGGACUACCAUGGCAGUCACGGGUAACGGAGAAUUAGGGUUCGAUUCCGGAGAGGGAGCCUGAGAAACGGCUACCACAUCUACGGAAGGCAGCAGGCGCGAAAAUUGCCCAAUCCUAACAUAGGGAGGCAGUGACAAGAAAUAACAACUCUCGACUUUGUUGAGAAGUGUAAUGAGGCUAAUUUACAAACCUUACCGAAAGCAAUUGGAGGACAAGUCUGGUGCCAGCACCCGCGGUAAUUCCAGCUCCAAUAGCGUAUAUUAAAGUUGUUGCAGUUAAAAAGCUCGUAGUUGAAAAUCUGGUUGUAUUGGGCUCCUGCACCCAUGCGUGAGUACCAGCAGCCAUCCGCUUGCAAGUACAUGUCCUUCCUUAACCGGUAGGCUGUAUGAGUAAGCAAUUUACCUUGAGAAAAACAGAGUGUUCCAGGCAGGUUUGUCCGGAAUGCAUUAGCAUGGAAUAAUAGAAUAUGACUGAAGUCGAUUUAUUGGUUUGAGGCUUUAGUAAUGAUUAAUAGGAACAGUCGGGGGCAUUAGUACUUGUCAGCUAGAGGUGAAAUUCCAGGAUUUGACAAAGACUAACUGAUGCGAAAGCGUUUGCCAAGGAUGUUUUCAUUAAUCAAGAACGAAAGUUAGGGGAUCAAAGACGAUCAGAUACCGUCCUAGUCUUAACUAUAAACCAUACCGACUCGGAUUCAGAUGAAUAUUAAAGUUCAUUUGGGACCGUAGGAGAAAUCAAAGUCUUUGGGUUCUGGGGGGAGUAUGGUCGCAAGGCUGAAACUUAAAGGAAUUGACGGUUUUGCACCACCAUGGAGUGGAGCCUGCGGCUUAAUUUGACCCAACACUGGGAAACUCAUCAGGGCAAGAAGAUUUUAGGAUUGACAGAUUGAGAGUUC